Molecule: small nuclear RNA, 109 nt
Filed under: Salvator merianae (Argentine black and white tegu)
Lineage: Eukaryota; Metazoa; Chordata; Lepidosauria; Squamata; Teiidae
Source: RNAcentral
GUGUUCUGGCUUUAGCACCACAUACACUAAAAUUGGAACCGUACAGAGAAGAUUNGCAUGGCCCUUACACAAGAAUGUGAUGCAUUCUGUACUAAAUAAAUAAAUAAUA